AGGGAAUCUUCCGCAAUGGACGAAAGUCUGACGGAGCAACGCCGCGUGAGUGAUGAAGGUUUUCGGAUCGUAAAGCUCUGUUGCCAGGGAAGAACGUCCGUUAGAGUAACUGCCAGGAGAGUGACGGUACCUGAGAAGAAAGCCCCGGCUAACUACGUGCCAGCAGCCGCGGUAAUACGUAGGGGGCAAGCGUUGUCCGGAAUUAUUGGGCGUGAAGCGCGCGCAGGCGGCUGUUUAAGUCUGGUGUAUAAUCCUGGGGCUCAACUCCGGGUCGCACUGGAAACUGGACGGCUUGAGUGCAGAAGAGGAGAGUGGAAUUCCACGUGUAGCGGUGAAAUGCGUAGAGAUGUGGAGGAACACCAGUGGCGAAGGCGACUCUCUGGGCUGUAACUGACGCUGAGGCGCGAAAGCGUGGGGAGCAAAC
RNAcentral lists this ribosomal RNA (424 nucleotides) under uncultured bacterium. RNAcentral's name for it is "bacterial SSU rRNA". It matches the Rfam family "Bacterial small subunit ribosomal RNA", at positions 356 to 773 of the family's 1533-position model. The record is from RNAcentral.